This 742-nucleotide ribosomal RNA is filed under the name uncultured Enterobacteriaceae bacterium. RNAcentral describes it as "bacterial SSU rRNA". It matches the Rfam family "Bacterial small subunit ribosomal RNA", at positions 761 to 1502 of the family's 1533-position model. Lineage: Bacteria; Pseudomonadati; Pseudomonadota; Gammaproteobacteria; Enterobacterales; Enterobacteriaceae. The record is from RNAcentral.
GUGGGGAGCAAACAGGAUUAGAUACCCUGGUAGUCCACGCUGUAAACGAUGUCGAUUUGGGGUUUGGGGGCAUGACCCUUGGGCUCCGGAGCUAACGCGUUAAAUCGACCGCCUGGGGAGUACGGCCGCAAGGUUAAAACUCAAAUGAAUUGACGGGGGCCCGCACAAGCGGUGGAGCAUGUGGUUUAAUUCGAUGCAACGCGAAGAACCUUACCUGGUCUUGACAUCCAUAGAAUCUUGUAGAGAUACGAGAGUGCCUUCGGGAGCUAUGAGACAGGUGCUGCAUGGCUGUCGUCAGCUCGUGUUGUGAAAUGUUGGGUUAAGUCCCGCAACGAGCGCAACCCUUAUCCUUUGUUGCCAGCGGGUAAAGCCGGGAACUCAAAGGAGACUGCCGUUGAUAAAGCGGAGGAAGGUGGGGACGACGUCAAGUCAUCAUGGCCCUUACGACCAGGGCUACACACGUGCUACAAUGGCGUAUACAAAGGGAAGCGAAGGUGCGAACUGGAGCGGACCUCCUAAAGUACGUCUAAGUCCGGAUUGGAGUCUGCAACUCGACUCCAUGAAGUCGGAAUCGCUAGUAAUCGUGAAUCAGAAUGUCACGGUGAAUACGUUCCCGGGCCUUGUACACACCGCCCGUCACACCAUGGGAGUGGGUUGCACCAGAAGUAGAUAGCUUAACCGCAAGGGGGGCGUUUACCACGGUGUGAUUCAUGACUGGGGUGAAGUCGUAACAAGGUAACCA